This 20731-nucleotide long non-coding RNA is filed under the name Coffea arabica (coffee). RNAcentral describes it as "long non-coding RNA (CARA_LNC007705)". The record is from RNAcentral. Lineage: Eukaryota; Viridiplantae; Streptophyta; Magnoliopsida; Gentianales; Rubiaceae.
UUUUUUUUUUUUUUUGUUUUUUGAAAGUCUAAUCUUAAUCACAUUUAGAAGUGCAAUGAAUAUAUCAAAGCAAGCAACAAAUAUAUACAUUAAACAUCUUAACUAUUUUGUAUGUUUUUAGGAGUUUUGUGUUUGGAUUGCAUUUUCCAUGAUUUUUCAUUAAAAAAUUACUGUAACGAUUUGAUGUAUGUGAGGUAAAAAGGUAAUAGAGAAAUGUGAUCACGGAAAACGACGUAAUUUUCCGACGGAAAAUCGCAAUCCAAACAAGGUAGAUUUCCAAUUCCUCGGACUAGCAUAAAACUUUUCUCCAUACUCCCCAUACAAUUGAUUCGAAGACUGUUUUCGAAGAUCAACACAAUUCACAAUACACAAGAAGUAUUUUUUUACUGGUUAGUCAAGUCAUUGGGUGUCUGAAAUUUGUGUUACAGAAUAUGUAGUUUUGGAUUCUUCCUGGUUCGUGAAAUUGAACAACUUUUUUACAGCAUUGAUUCAAACUCAAAUAUUUCUCCAGGUUUGUGCAGUCACUGGUGUUUGGCCAUCGAAAUCAACGAUUUGAUUUUCUUAGGUGGAUGCUUUUGGAGUUGUCAUCCUAAUGCCUUAACUCUAUCAUGUCCUGAUGCCAAAUUGAAUAAUGUUAAGUUGGCAAAGUUGGUCUCUGAGACGCUAACAAAUAGCAUAAAUCUAGAAAAUCCUGUUUCAAGAGAGAUAAGUGUUGGCGGCAUCAGCUAAAGGGAGUAAAGCAUGAGGCCAUCACAAAAACUCGAAGAGAAGGGCUGCAGGCUGAAGUUAUGAACUUUGAUAACUCUGGUGGAGAAAUCAAACACCUGCUACCCAUCUCCGCUUUGGCAGUUUGUUGAUUCGUUUCAAUUUAGAAUGGUGAGGAAGCGUCUUGCAAUCUGGCUUUAGAUCAGUGCUCUGAUAAAUGCAUAUGUGAUGCUAUGAUUUGUUACCGAUCUUAUUUAUUCUAUCUGGAAUAAUUUAUUCACAGCAAACACACUGAUACAAACUAGGGCUGCAUUUGAGUUGAGUUGAGCUCGAGUAGCACUAUCCAAGUCGACUUGAGGUAAAAUAACUGAGUUCGAACUCAAACUCGAACUCAUCGAGUUUUUAGAAGUCGAGUUCGAGUUCAAACUUGGCUUCAGUUUACCUUACUCGACUUCGUACUCAAGUUCGAGUUUAAUUAAAUCUAAUCGAGUCAAAUCAAGUUCAAUCAAAUCUAUUCAAGUGUAAUCAAGUUUAAACUCACGUAAUAAAAAUUAAUAUUUUACGUAUAAUUUUAAAUAAAAGAUAUUAUUGAUAUUUCACAAUAAUAAAUACAAUAUAUAUAUUAUAAAAAGCUCGAAUAGAUUUGUCAAACCUUCAAAUAUAAAAUAUUAGAAUUUAAGCUCAACUUGUGAGCUCAAGCGAGUACCUCGAACUCGAGCUCGAGCUCGGUCAAAACGAAUUCGAAUCGCCGAAUAGCUCGCGAGUUUCAGUUGAGUUUCUUGAUUUAGCAUCACCCUAAAUAUAAUGCCAGUUUUCCUUGUUGAUUAAUUGGAUUUUUGAACCCAUAAGAUGUUUGCUUAGUUGAAAUAUCACGACAUUUUUAAGCAAUAGACAAAAGUAUGAAAUCCCUAAAUUAAGAAGUUGGAUCGUCCUUAAUAAGUGCUACAUCCUAAUCCUAACCAUAUAUAAGAAGCACUUGCACUUUAAACUGUUCACCAACUUUCAUCCCAUCACUUGUGGUUUGAAAGCUCGUACCUUGUUUUCAUUCCCCUUUUUGUACUUCAAGCUCGUGUACGUUGCUUUCUCCUUACCCUUGCUAUAAAUACAGUACUGAUUGCUCCCACUUUCCAUUUGGUAUUGUUAUGCAUUUGUUUAUUUACUUUAUUACCCUUUGUAGAUGCUUUGUUGUGGCUGCAGCCUUAGAGUUGCAUGCUCUUUAUAGUCAUUUUGUAUGGAUUUGACUAAGGUUCAGCACUCACAACUUUAGUGGGUUGUGAAAUUACUCACGUGGACAAGCAUCUUGGUUGUUAUAUGGAUAAUGGUAUGAUAACAAUGUGCAUUAUAGUAAUUUCACACUAAAUUAAGCAGAAUUAAUUCUUGGAAGCCGUGUACUGCAACUUUCAUCUUCAAAAUGCACCGCUCUAUUUUAUAUGCUGCAAUGCAUUGCUUUCAGCUUUCAGCUUCAGCCUGUGUUUUGCUCCUCUGGUUUCUCAGUGCUUCGAUUGCUGGUAUCAUUCAAUUUGCACUUUAUUUCCAAUGUUUAUUUUCCCUUGGAUCGUUUGCUUUCAUGCAUCUCUUAGGUUUUGCUUUGUCUUUCAUGUUGCAUUAGUUUUCUGCUCUCACUUUUGUGCUUACGAACUAUAGCAUUUGCUUGCAUUUCUUAUGAAAUCUUCGUAUGAAUGAAGUUAACAGGUUUUUUGUCCAUACUAACAGUCAGUUGCAAACAAAAAUUGCUAUUUGUUUGAUCGAAGGAGUAUGUUUUACUUUUGGAGGCCUGUUUAGUAUAUACCAGUUGGAUUAUGCUCUUAUUUCUUCUGUUCCUGUACACCUGUAGUUUUUUCUUGUUGAGCUCGUUAAACAAGCUGAACUUGGGAGAAAUUGAAGCCAGAGGACUGCCACCAAUAUAUUCUGAUGCAGAGAGUUCAACAGCAGCAAAAGCAGCAGCAAUGCAUGCUAAAUCGACAAUAGCACCAACUGAAAACACUACAACUUCAUCUGGAGAUCAUGACAACAAACUUGAGGCAGAACUCCUCACUACACUGAAAAUAACAGAAAGCCCUACCAAGAAACAAAAGACCACUGCUGAAAAAGUGAAGGAAAAAGACGACAUGGCCGAACAGAAUUAAUAGCCACUAAUUCCUUCACCCUUUUGCCAGCCAGCACACUUUUGCAGAUUCAAUGAUCUAAACUCCAGCUCUUAAGCCAUAGUUUUUGCAAUGUAUAUUUUGCAGAUUCAAUGAUGUCCACUGAAGUUCUUUAACUGCCAACUUUUGACAUCCGCCAACAAUAGAUGUAAAAUACUUUUGCUAUCAUAACAAUGUCAUCCUAUUAACCAACACUCAAAUGUUGUUACCGCCCCAAAUUCACUCAUCUCAACUACACCUCUUCUAACAAAAUGAAUUUCCUCAUUCUUGUUAAAUGUUUCCUGAUUCUUAUUAAAUGUAAUCCAAAACUUUCCACCUCAAUUUCUUAAGAAAAUCAACCUUUACAUAUAUGCACAGCCACUACCACCGUCCGCGCAGUCAUUUAGUAUAGGAUUUUCCUUAUCAUUAAUUGGUUGAACUAUCAUUAAUUGGUUGAACGGUUGUGUUUGGAUUGCAUUUUUUUAGAUUUUUUGUAAAAAAAUUACUAUAAUGAUUUGAUAUAUGUGAGGUAAAAAGGUGAUAGGGAAAUAUGUUCACGAAAAAACGUAGCAAUUUUUCUUUGAAAAACUGCUGUCCAAACAGGGCAGCUUUAGCACCAACGUUGUGUCAUUUUCUACAUUUUGGUUUGCCUUCUAUUCUAUAAUUGUUUUAGUCAUAGUUAUUAAACCCAACCCGGGAAGGAACCCGGCGAAGGAGGUGGGUCAACGGGUUACUGGUUUAACCGGUGGGUGAGUGGUUGAACCGGUGGGUCACUACAUAUAUUUAAAUAUUAUAUUUCAUAAUUAUUUAUAUAAGAUAUAUGAUAUAAAUUGUAAUAAAUAAUGCCAUAACAAAAGCUCAUUUAAUUUAAUUUGUUAUAAAAUAAUUAAUUCAUAUAAGAAUCAAUCAAAUAUAAAGUUAUUUAUUAAUAUACCAAACUUCAAGUGUAAAAUUUUAUCUAUAUUUAGUGUAAUUAUCUAGCUUAUUUAUGAAUUUUAAGUGUAAAAAAUUAUUAAAAAUAAUAUUUGUCUUUAAAUGAAUUAUGUAAUAUGUUAUUUUUGGAAUCCAUUUUAUAACUUAUAGAGUUUGGAGGGUAAUAAAUUUUUAUUAAAAGGUUCCAAAUAAAUUUGUUUUAGAGAAAAAAAGAUAGAAUUGAAAAAACAUUUAUAUAUCAUAAUAAAGCUACUAUAUCAACAUAUAUGGAAGUAGUUUGGUGGUAAGCAGGCGGUAGUGUUGGGGCAGAGGUCCGAAGUUCGAGUUCCAACAAUAACAAUAUUAUUUUUCCACAAAAUUCGGUUAGUGACAAAACCGGCCAAAACCGGCCGGGUUUCCGGUUUAACCUGGUUCGAUCGCCGAGUCGUUGACUAAGUCAACGGUCUCUUUGCACAAACGAUCUGAUUCCAAACCUGGCCCGGUCCAAUGACCGGUCCACCGGUUCGACCGCCGGGUCGGGCCGGAUUUAAUAACUAUGGUUUUAGUCCAUGCUAGAUUCUUCUUCUUUAUAUUAGAUGGGCCCAUUUUUGGCAGAGGCAAGCAUAUAGAAUCCACCCAAUUUAGCCAAGACAAAAUGAAAUUUUAUUUCCUUGCCAUCAAUAAAUUUGGGCUCAUGUGUUUCAACACACUGUACAUUUUUUGGGCUAUCAAGUGGAUUGCACAAAGCAACAAGUCCAACAGUUCACGCCAUAACGACACUAACACAAAGGCCUUAGGAGAAAGCUAAAAGGAAAAACAUUUCAAAUAAGUCUUAGUACAAACUUUUAGUAAAUAUUUGCUUCAAAAAAAAAACUUUCCGUAAAUAUUCUUCCUCUACUACUUAUAUAAAAUUCCAAGCAAUGGAAUGGAGUUGGUUUAUCUAUUAUUUGUUUUCUUUCUUGUAAUUAUUCUUAGGAUGGUUUUUAGGUGUUAAUUAUCUAAAAAAGUAAAGUUAAAUCAAGAAAGUGCAUAAAUAUAAGAUAGGGCAAUAAAUAUGAGAGUUUUGUUAAAGGACCUAUCUAAUGAGUUCCCCACUAGACAAUCAUUCAUAUGUAGUGCAAGUCUUAAUGAUAUUUUGAACAUGAAGGGUUAAAUAGGGAAAGCUUAUAAAUACAACGUAGGUUAAUAAUUAUUAGUGUGUGCAAUCACAUAAUAAGUUAAAUAUGAAUUAGCUAAUUUAAUAAGUACACAUUGGUACCCGUUAAAAAAAAACUCUUUGUUAAAUAAUGAAUUUGAUGCAUAUGUAUUAACCAAUGCUCAUUAGUUACCUAUCGAUUUUUAUAACGGGUGCUCAUAGAGCACUCGUUAACAUAUCUAUAUUCCACGUAACAUAUCAUAUAUAUACAAACACUAACAAUUACUACUUUCUCUUACAUUUAUACAUUUUUUCUAAUUAAUCCCCUUGCAUUUAUACACUUUCCUUAAUUAAUUUUAUAUUUCUAAAAAACCAACACCCAAAAUAUAUUUUAACUGGUGCUUAUAGAGCACCUGUUAGACACAUAGUUAAAAAAAAAUGGUCUGUCAUAAUUUUACACCUUUGCACCCUUGAUAUAUAUGGUGAUGGCAGUUGACACGCUCAAAAAGGUUGUAUGUAAAUAGGGAAACAAAUCACCACCCAAAAUUUUCAAUGAGAAGACUAUAAACAAGCAUACAACAACCGAAGGAUACUGCCCCCCAUCAAAGUCAAAAAUAGUGCUUCAAAGGUAGUGAUUUCCAACAACGACAUCCCCGCAUUCAACGGAUAACUAAUACGUCAAUCAAUGCCAAAAUCUAGUACUAAAUAGUUCUUCCUUUUGGUUUUUUUCCUGGUACUCUAAAUAGAUUGUCCCCAAGAAAAGUUGCAAGUACUACAAAUUUCAGAUGACAAAAAUCAGUUGUAAUGCAAGUACAAUCUCAUGUGAGCAACAAUUUUUCUUGCACUUUCUGAUUUUCCCUUUCGGUGGUAUGAACCAAUGGAGUGUGUACUACAAGCUGAUAAUGUUACAUCAAAACUGUGCAAGAAUUUUCUAGUCAAAAAUUUUUUGUUUACUAAAAUGCACCCUAUGCAAGACUUCAAUUCUGUAAGUUAUUUUGCCAAAAUAACGGGUUUUUGUAACGGGCGGCACCCGUUAAUAUACCUACAUUCCACUCAAUCUAUCAUGCAUAUACACAUACUAACAAUUACUACUUUCUUCGGCAUUUAUAGAUUUUUUCUAAUUAAUUCCCUUACAUUUAUAUACUUUGCAUAAUUAAUCUUAUAUUUUUAAAAAUCUAGCACCUGAAAUAUAUCUUAAUGCCAUUAGACAGACCGAUUAAUAAUGUACUUUUUCACUAAUCACUACAUCAAAGUGGAUCCGGAGAAUUCUAUUAGACAAUAGCACUUUCUUGAUACUAGGCAGUGAACUAUUUUCAUUGUAAAAUUUUAGUCAGUCAGCUAAUUAAUAGUUUCAAUUAGCGUAAUAAACUUCUAAUUUUGAAAACUAAAGGUAAUUUCAUUUAUUUGCUCUAUUAAGUUUGUUCGUUUCAAUUAAUCAAAAAGCAUCACAACAAUUUUCGUAAAGGAGAAAACUAAAAAAAAAAUGAACAUUUUCUUUCUCUUUUUUGGGGGUUCCAAUACACUUCUCUAUCUCUUUUCAUAUUUUCUUAAACAUAUUACAUGUGGCUAAUGGGUUUCUUUUGCAUUUAUCUUUUAACUUAUUAUAUAUGGACGCAAAUUUUCCUUAACUUUUUUCGGAUCAAAAGGAUUUAAUGGUGAAAUUAGACAGAAUCAUCAGUAGUUUAUAGAUUUAAAAUUUGACUUUUUUUGUUCCUUAGUAGCCUCUUCAGUAAUUUACCCUUUUUAUAAGAUUUUAUCUCUGUGACACAUACUUUUCACAUACUAUAUACUUAGUAAAAAAUUCUGUACAAUUCUGCACCAAUUAUUGGAUCAGAUUAACACUCAUAACCUAAAUAUACUUAAUAAGGAUAGCAAGGCAAGUCUGUAAUCUUUGUACUUCAAUGCAAAAGCACAAGGAUCAAAUAGUACAUUUACUUGUUCUCAAAUUAAAUAACCACAAAAUUAAGUUGAAAGUUAGCAGAGUUCUAUAUUUAUUAUUGGUGUCAUCCUUAAUUUGCAAGAAAUUUUAUAAAAGCCUAUCAAAGUACUACUCCAAUCAUUUUCAACAAUUACUAGAUGGAAAGAUUUGUCGUUAGCCCUUAUCAUAAACACGACUUGAACAAGAACACUAAAGAAACAACCUACGUGACAUGUUCGAAAUUAUUGAGCAAGUACUGCUUAUUGGUUCUGGCCAGCUUGCAAGCUUAGACCUCUUAAAGCUAUUUUAUUUACUGAAAAAUCGAUAUGGUCUUUUUUUUUUUUUUUGUCAGCAACGAUACAUUUGUAUAACAUUCUCUAUCCUAAUCUAAGGGGAGGGGAGCCUAAGGAGGCUGUUGUAGGGGCUAGUGGAUAUACAAAUCCAACUAGACCAAGAAAAUGUUAUGACACAAUCCUUAGAUUUUUUUCGCUGCUGGUGAAGUUUGAACCCUCACCAACAGUCCAAGGAGGAAUUAAGUCCCUCCCUGGUGGCCACUGAGUCAUUGGCCCAGUGGUUGAAAAAUCGAUAUGGUCUUGAGGGUCGUUACUUUGAAAAUUGCGGUUUCACCCUCGAACUUUCGAACUUCCUACUAUGCCAAUUCAAAAAUAAAAGAUUUGCCCCACAAAGUUUUAGAGAAUUGCAACGGACUCAACUUAUCGUCCAAAAUAUCAGUUUCAAACUUUGCACUGAGAAAGAGAACAUGCUUAAUCAAAAUACUGGUCUAAAAAACAUAUAUUGAGAAAAUGGAAGAGAUUUUGCUAAUGAGAUGUUGCCCUAACUUCGGCGAACCUUAUUAAUUUUUUUCUAGCAUUCACCAUGUUUUGUGCAUCUUAAUUGUUCCUCCUUCAUCCAAUUUGUAAGUUCCUUUUGUUAUUUAUUAUCUUCUAAACUUAUAAAUGAUUUCUUGAGGAACAUACAAUUUAUCAUAUUCUAUGUACAUUAAUUGCUCCUCCUUCAUCCAAUUUGUAAGUUUUUUUUUUUAACUAUUUAUUAUCUUCUUCUAAACUUAUAAUGAUUUCUUGCGUAACAUACAAUUUAUCAUAUAAAUUGAAAUGGAGAAUCAUUAGAACUUGUUUCAUGAUAAAGGGCUAGUUCACCAAUGGUUGUUUUAGAGUCUUGUGGAUAGAGAAAAUAAUAGUGGGAGAGUUACCUUCAUAAAGAGGUUCGAUGAUACUUUAGUCGGGGUCCAAUACGGUCAUCCAACAAGAGGAAGUUUACACCCAAAAGAAAGGCGAUUUUUCCUCGUGAGACAGCUCACUAUUUUUUUGGACACAAUGGUUCCCAUACGGAGAACUUUUAAGAGGGAUUUGCUAUAGUAUGCAAAAGAUCACGAGCCAUGAAUUGUAUGGCGGAAAGAUAAAACUAGACAUAGUAGCUUGAAAGUCUUGAACUAUUAUUUGCACUUUGACAGAAGCUAAAAAGGAUUGCAUUACUGCCGACUCUGAUUUUCUAGAGUUGAAAACAGGUGAUAUGGAAAUUCGUAGUUGUAGAAUUGAUCACUCAAUACUUUUUGCUUUUAAUUUUUCUUUUCAUUUGACACAGUAUCAAAAUCUCUAGAAAAGCAAAUUUGGCACUGAACAAGUGACUUACACGACAAGUUCAAAUACACUCAUAAGUAUCCAUAAUCAUGAUUCUUUGAACAAAUUAAGAACUAUUUAGUAUGUCCAUGCAUAAACUAUUACAGUAGAGCAUAUAUAAAAAUCAUCCCAUUUUGGGAUAUAUUUUACACAUAUAUAUAUGUUUUGUGUUUCUUGAUCCAAAUAGGGGUGCUAGCAAGUCAAGCUGCUCGCGAGUGCGAGCAGCUUGAUCAAAAGCUUGACUCGAGCUCGGUAAAAUUGAGCUCGAGUUCGAGCUCGAGCUACUCGUUAAAUUUAACGAGUCUAGUUCGAGCUCAAGAAAUAAGUACUCGAGUGCUCGCCGAGCUUAAUCGAGCUUUCAUAUUUUAUUUAUAUUAUAUAUUUAUAUUAUAUUAUAUAUUAUAUAUUUUUUAAAAAAAUUAUAAAUUUAUUUUAAAACUCGAGCUCGAGCUCGAGUAGCUCGGGCUUGAUAUUUACUCAAGCUCAAACGAGUCGAGCUCGAGUUUAGUUUUAUUUCAUCGAGUCGAGCUCGAGUCCAAAUUUUUUCACUCGAUCGAGCUCGAGCUCGAGUAGCACAAAUUUUGAUCGAGCUCGAGCUCGAGUAUGGUGCUACUCGAGCUCGACUCGGCUCGAUAUCACCUCUAGAUCCAAAUCAAAAGGAAGAUUGUCUUAUCAAACUUUCCAUAAGUUUGCAUAUGUGCAUGUGACACUGGUACAGCAAUAAUGUCUAGAAGACUAUAAAAACAUGUUUUGUCACUUCCAAACAUUUUACUAGUCCAAUCCAAAAAUAAAAGAUUUACCCCGCAAAGUUUUAGAGAUUUACAAUGGAUUCAAUUGGCUCAACCAAAAUAUCAGUUUCAGACUAUGCACUGAGAAAGAGGAAAAGCUCAAUCAAAAUACUUAUAUUGAGAAAAUGGAAAAGAGUUGGCUAAUGACAUGUUGCCACCCUAACUCUAGUGAACCUUAGUAAUUUUUUUGAGCGUUUCACCAAACUCUGUGUACCUUAGUUGCUCCUCCUUCAUCCAAUUUGUAAGUUCUUUUUAUUAUUUUUUAUCUUCUAAACUUGUAAUAAUUUCUUGAGGAACAUAAAACUUAUCAAUAUAGAUUGAAAUGGAGAAUUAUUAGAACUUGUUUCAUGAUAAAGGCCUACUUUAUCAACGAUUGUUGGGUCAAGUGACAACGAGCUUGAAACUCAUUAAAUAAGAUUUCAAAAUUUUGUGGAUAGAGAAAAUAAACAUUGGGAGAGCCACCUCAGGAAGAUGUCCGACGGUACUCCUGCAGUAAUCGGGGCCAAUGCACAUCAUCGAACAUUGGGAGGUUUACACCAAAAUUUGUCAUUUUUCCUCGUAUGCCUGCUCACUGUUAUGGGCAAACGUUUCGCAUAUGGAGAACUUUUAAGAGGGAUUUGCCAUAGUAGGCGUAAGAUCACGAGCCAUGAAAUGUUUGGUGGAAAGGUAAUCUACAGUCAAGUGCAGCUAGAGAGUAGACAUAGUAGCUUGGUGCCUUGGACUGGAAUUUACACUUUAGCAGAAGCUAAAAACGCAUCUAGGGUCUCAAUUGCAUCACUGCCUACUCUGAUUUGCUAGAGUUGGAAACGCAGUAUACUGAAAUUACUAGUUGUAGAGUUGAUAACUUAUACUUUUUGCUUUUCAUUUGAUAUAAUAUCAAAAUCUCUAGAAAAGCAAAUGUGGCACUGAACAAGUGACUUACACGACAAGUCAAAAUACACUCAUUAGUAUCCAUAAUGAUGAUUCUUUGAACAAAUUAAGGCCUAUUUGGUAUGUCCCUGCAUAAACUAUACAGUAGAGCAUAUAUAAAAACCAUCCUAAUUUGGGAUAUCUCAAUUUUACAAAUAUAUGUUAUUGUAUUGGGAUGAUUUCGGAAACCUCCCUUGAGGUUUCUAACUAUUUCACUGGCCUCCUUUCAAACUUUAAAAAUUAUACUAACCUCCUUUGAAUUUUAUUAUCUUGUAACAUCUAGAUCCAACUAAUAAUUAAAAAGUGAUAUUACGAGAGAGAAGAUAAUAUAAAUUUACAUUGCUUCUCAUCUAUUAAAUUAAUGUAAUACCCGCCCAAACAUUAAUAAAAAAUACUAAAAUUUGCUGUUUACCAUCAAAGAUUAAAUCACGUAUGGUAUCAAAAAUAAUAUAUCAUUCUAUAUAUUUUACUUAAUUUAAGAUCUAAAUUUCUCUUUUUAGUUACAAACACAUUAUUAAACAUGAUCAACAACAAAUAAUUAAAAAAUUCUGUAACCAAAACAUUACAAAGCACGAACUUUAAUACAAUAAAAAUCUCAGCAACUAACCUUAAUAUAUUGACAAGAAUAUUUAUGAUGUUAAGUUUGUUCUUUAUAAUAUUUUGAUUGCAAAUUUUUUGAUUAUUUAUUACUGAUCAUGUUUGACAAUGGGUAUAUAAUUAAAAAAAGUAAUCUGGAUCUUGUAUUAAGUGAAAAAUAUAAAAUGAUAUACUAUUUUUUUGAUAAUAUAUAUGAUUUGAUCCUUAAUGAUAAAUAAUAAAUUUUAGUGCUUUUCCUUAAUGUGUUGGUUAGGAUUAAAUUAAUUAAAUAAUAUAGUAGAUGAGGGGUAAUAAUGGAAUCAUAUUAUCUUUUCUCUUCUGAUAUCACUUUUUAGUUAUCGAUUGAGUUUAAAUUUUACAAGAUAAUUAAUCUCAAGUAAGGUUAGUAUAAUUUUCAAAACCUGUAAGGAAGCCAGUGAAAUAGUCAAAAACCUCCUUUGAGAUUUUUGAAAUUAUCCCUAUCGCAUUUUGAGCUCCAAAUCAAAAGGAAGAGUGUCUUAUCAAACUUUCCCUAGGCUUACAACUUUUUUUUAUUUAAAUUUGUUUUGCUCCAUAUCUUCUCGCUAAAUCAGAAAGUUCUUUUGCUCGUUGAAUUAUUUUUAAUCCUUUCAAUCAUCAAAAUUCUCAGUUAAGAGGAUUGGCAAGGGUACUUUGAUUUGGUCACAACUCACAGGGUCGCCAAGAGCACCAAGUUUAAUGAUGACCAACUACUUGAACUAAAUAUAAAAGCUUUUUUCUAUCACAUGGACUGAUUGUUGGACCCCAAUUCUGAACAUCCAUUAGUACAAUUUAUUCAAUUUGCAGGACUCAACUCAGUUACUUUAGUACUCUUCUUCUUUUGUAUGUCGGACUCCAUUUUACCCCCGGAAAAAAUUCAGGAGACUUUUCAAGCAAAAAUGUACUUUAGACUAUUUUCCCUGCUGGAUUACAUAUUCUCAUUGCAAUUAUUUGAUGUGGGAUAGGAUGAGAGAUGACGCAAGAUCAUUUAGAAAUUCAUUGGCCCCAAAAGAUUUUCUGUAAUUCUUUAGUCGAUUAUAAUGAAAUAAAAUAAAUGUAUACGUCCGCAUUUACACUCAUACUCACCUAAACCAAGCUUACCAUCUAUAGACCAAGAAAUAUGAAUGAAGUUGUAACAAAGGAUGAAGCUUCCCAAGUACAUGAACAAUUUUACUCUUUAAGUAAAAAUAUAUGCUGUGAAUCAAGUAUAGAUGAAGGUCUAGUUUAGCAUUCUUCACUCUAAAAGUGUAUGUUACUCUCUUAUAGUUUGUAUAAAUAUCCAUUUGACCGCUUGUGAUAUUUUGUAUUUAUCUAUAUAAUCCCUCUAUACUUUUAUACAAGAUAGUUAAGCCGUAGAUUGAUUUAGCAUUUAAGUAAGCGCACUAUUGAUAUUUUAAUUAAUGACGUUAUAUAGGUUAUUUUUAGCCAAGUUUCCACUUUACAUAAAAUUAUAGGGAGUGAAAUGAAUAUUUUAAAACAUUAGGAGAUCAUGUGGCAAUAAAAAAAUCAUAGGGGGUUAUAUGUAAUUUAACCAUAAUUUUAUUGUGUAGCAUUCGUUGCACUUUUUUUUUUAUGCAGUAGAUCUAGUCUGCCUAGCUUCAACUUUUUUUUUUCUUAUGGACAAAAAAAUUUCCUUUUUUGAGCAAAGUAGAAUUCACAAAAUUAUGCAACGAUAUAGUUUUUUUUUUUCCUUUUUUGUUGUGGGCUUGGUAUACAUGGUCAAAUCUCAAGUCUCUCCAAUUUUUCUCAAGCAAAAUGUAAGCAUUCUCCAAUUUUUCUUAUUAUUUUCGGCAGUUUCCCAUUCAUGCACUGCAUAAGAGUCUAUUUCUAUUGGAAAUGAUGGCAAGGCUGGUCUCUCCAACGUUUAAUUAAAGAAAUAAUUAUGAUUAUUUAGAAAACUUCCAAAAUCAGAAAAGUUAUUAAUCAAUCUUCAGUACUUAAAUAUCAUUCGAGGUAAGCUAAAUGGUCAAGAUUUCACCCCACAUCUUAGUGGUACUUUAAAGUCUUUCACAUAUGAUUAAUCUUGGCUCGUUGUUACUUUUUCCAUUUAGUAGCUAAACCUCUUUUCUUGUUUCUGUCUGGAUAUUAGAUGACAAUCAACCCAAAUCAUCAUGUGUGAUAUGACACAAACGAGUAAUUGCACGUUAGGUAAAUUGGAUAAGAUGCAAAGAGAAAAAGGGUAGAGUUAGAGAAACAAGAAAAUUUUGAAUUCAAGUUGCAGUGCCAUUUUAAUUGCUUAGUGGCCUAAUUAAUUAUGUGUCAAUUUGUUUACGUGCUUAAAAUUAAUUUUGGUUACAAAAGAAUCAUAUAUAUAUCUAUGAACAAGCCAGUUGAAGCAUUCAUAGAUUGAGGUGGAACCAUUCAAAUGAAUUUCAAAUAUUACCUCAAUGUAGAGGUGAAAAUAAAUGUAAAUAUAUGCAUUUAAAUUAUAAGUUUCGUGUAAAUUAGAUGUACUAAUAAGCGCGCAAUGAUCUUCACGAUGACUGAAAAGGAAAUUUAACCUAUUUUCUCUAGAACUCAUUCUGUAAUCUUUCUGUAAACAACUUUGGUGCAGCCACCAUUGUGGACAUUUAUCUCUGCUAAAUGCACUAAAACAAGAGAAUGGUGGAUGAUUAUUGGAGUUGGAAUAUGUGGACCAGCACAAACUGCAGCAAAAUUCUAAAAGUUGGAAAGGGAAUUUUGAUUAUUUGAACCUAGUGCGCUCCAACGUUCGAAACCUAAUGAGAAACCUCGUGAUCCAUCAAACGGUAACAAAUUUUACAUGUGAUUCCACUAAAUUUAACCUGCUCAAAAUGUUACUGCUUGUAUUUUUUUUUUCUUUUUUUUACCAGAAAGUUGCAAUUUUUCUGGUUUCCUAUAAAUGAGGGAGACAAGGCUGGGUUCUUGAAAGCAAAGGUCCAGGUCAUUGUUUCCUUAGCCAGCCUUAGAUUUUCCUCUACCGUCUUUUCUCAUCAUUAUACCUUCUUGUUUACGUGAAAGAAUGAAGCCAUAGUCUCCUUUUUGCAACUUCUGCUAUUAGUAUAUGUUAGUGACCCAAUAAAAAAUACACUUCACUUUUGUUCCUCCCACUGAGAUUUCCCUUUGUCAGAUCCCAAAAACUUCAAACAUUCUUAUUCCAUUUUCAGCAAUAUUUGCUGUCAGAUCAGAAAACCGUGUCCCAAAAUGCAGAUUCUAAUGUGGGUUCUCAAGCUUUUCCUCAUUGUGAGCUUGCAACCACCAAUCCUAGCACAAGCCCAGAAGGAUGUUCAGGCAACAGCAGCAGCAGAAGCAGCUGCACCAGCUUGUUUUGAGGGUGAUAGAGUUGCUCUUCUUGGGUUCAAGGCUAGAAUAUUUAGGGACACUACCGACAUUCUAUCUUCAUGGACAGGCAAAGAUUGCUGUGGAGGGGGUUGGGAAGGGGUUGAAUGUGACCCUGCAACAGGAAGAGUUAUUAGGUUGAUCCUGCAGAGACCAGUUGAUCAAGGCUUGAGCAAUUUCAUGAAGGGCAUUUUGUCUCCUACUCUUGGUAAUUUGCACUUCUUGGAGGUAAUGGUAAUAAGUGGGAUGAAACGCAUUGCAGGGCCAAUUCCUCAAAGUUUCUCAAAUCUCACUAGGCUGACUCAGCUUAUACUCGAAGACAAUUUUCUGCAAGGAGACAUCCCUUCCAAUUUGGGGCAUCUGCCCUUAUUGCAGACACUAUCGCUGAGUGGGAAUAGAUUGACAGGGCAGAUUCCUCCAGCAUUAGGGAAUUUAAGAAACCUUCAGCAGCUAAGUUUAGCAAGAAAUUCCCUGACAGGUCCUUUUCCAAUCUCCUUCAAGAAUCUCAUCAGCUUGCAGUCAAUUGAUCUCAGUUAUAAUCUUUUAUCAGGAAACAUACCAGAUUUUAUGGGGCAGUUUAGAAAUCUGACAUACCUUGUUCUUACAAGUAAUCAACUAUCAGGCCAGAUACCAAUUUCUUUGUGCAGCUUGAUUAAACUCUCAGAGUUGUCACUCGGCCACAAUAGGCUUGUAGGAAAAAUCCCACCCCAGAUUGGAAAUCUCAAGUCUCUUGCAAUUCUGUCAUUAGUUUCCAACCAGUUAAUAGGUCAAAUUCCAGAAUCAAUUGCUCAGAUGCAGAACCUGUGGAACCUAAAUCUAUCAAGAAAUUUGUUUUCAGAUCCAUUGCCUAACACCUUACCUAGUGGUCUUCCAUCUCUGUUAUCACUGGACCUUUCUUAUAAUAAUUUUGAUUUGGGGACAGUUCCUCAAUGGAUAAGAACCCGGGAACUUUCCAGCAUUUAUUUAGCUGGCUGCAAGCUUCGAGGGACUCUCCCAAAUUUCACAACCCCUGAUUCAUUAAGCUCUUUAGACCUGUCAGAUAACUAUUUCACUGAAGGUAUUUCAAAUUUUUUCACAAGGAUGACAACCUUGGAACAGGCUAAGCUUUCAAACAACCAACUGAAGUCUGAUGUAUCUGCAAUCAAAUUGCCAGAUGGACUUUCAUCAAUUGACCUCCAUUCAAACCAACUCUACGGUUCUCUAUCAAGUAUUCUAAGCAACAAGACAAGCAAGUUUCUGGAGGCUGUUGAUAUUUCAAACAAUCAAAUUUCGGGUACCAUUCCUGAAUUCAGCAAUAGCUUGAACCUGAAAGUGCUCAACAUGGCAAGCAACAAACUUACAGGUUACAUUCCCAAUUCGAUCUCAAACCUUGCUAAGCUUGAAAGAUUAGACAUUUCAAGGAACCAAAUAGGAGGCACAAUCCCAACCAGUUUAGGAUUGUUGCUCAAGUUGCAGUGGUUGGAUUUGUCCAUCAACACCCUUUCCGGGAAAAUCCCUGACAGCUUGCUACAGAUUCAAGCUCUGAGACACGCAAGCUUCAGGGCCAACAGAUUAUGUGGUGAGAUCCCGCAAGGAAGACCAUUUAACAUCUUUCCUCCAGUAACUUAUGCCCAUAAUCUGUGUUUAUGUGGCAGGCCCUUGCCACCUUGUAAGGGAAAGAAGUGAUAGGAAAGGAUGGGCCAGUACAAUGCUGACUCGAUCAAUGAGGAUGAUACAAUUGCUCAAGCCAUGUUAGCCUUGCAUCAACAAUCAAUUUCAGUUGUUUCUUAAAUACCAGUCAAGAUACACAUUCUUCUGUAUCUCACGAUAGAAUCUUUACUCAAAGAACUGAGUACUUGCUCCUAUUAAUUCAAAUCAAGAAAGUUCUUCUCUUAUUUUAUCUGAUGCUGAGCUUUCUAUGAAUUUUUUAGCACACGAUCUUGUCUAACCACAAUAAUAAACCUUAAAACAGGGCAACCAACUUUGAGCAACAACAAAAAGUGUAAUUAGUAGUUCAGUAUUUUCAAAUCAUGUAUCUCCUUCGAGCAUCAAUUUAAACAUGUUAAAACCACAAACUCCAUAUAAUUAGCAUAGUAAUUUGCCAUUUCUGGAUUCCAAUAGUAGCAUAAGCAGAAUCCAAAUGGUGCAUAGAGCCUAACAAUUUGAAGCCAAAAAGACAGAAACUACCCUGCCAUUCAGAACUAUUUAAUACCUAACCUGAACCCAGUUGACUAACAGGGACAAAAAUUUACAAGACAGAACUAUUGUAAGAGAAACUACAAAAGGGCAUAGCAGAGUUUGCAAGGCGGAACACUAUUCAUCAUCAUCAACUACAAUCUCCUCAACUUCCUUCUCAGCUGAAUUUUCUUCACCCUGAAAAAGCAAACCAAAUUAAGAAUUGACACUAUUAUAACAAUGCAAGAGUAAUAAGAGAGAAGCAUCUAAAGAAUAAGCACUUUUCCUAACAAGCUUUGGAAAUCAAACCACUUACAUCUUCAUUUUCAGCACCAUCACCAUUAGAUUCCAAGGCCCUCUCAUAUUCAGCUUUCAGCUCCGCAGCUCUGUCCAAAUAAGGUUGUUUCUCCUGAUCAAUGCAUUUGAAAUAUCAUUACCAUCAGUAACUGAUCAAACAGUUUCUUAUGGAAUGCAAUAAGCUCCAGCAUACAGAAUUGACACUCACUUCUUCAGUCAUUGACUUCCAUUUCUCCCCACCCUCUUUGGCCACCUAAAUCAUUGGAUAGUUAAAAAUCCAUGUCAAACAUAACCAAGUAAAUCAAACAUGGUUCAAUUUUCAAACAAUGAAAAUAAACAAAUAAGAAUGACUAUACCACUGAGACACUCUUGCAAUCAGGAUUUGCCUCCUUGAAAGAUUUCCUGAAGUCAUCCCUGUGUAAUUCAAGUCAAACAUAAUCAGCCACCUACUCUACAAAUACUCCUAAUGCAUAGUACACAUAAGCAAAGGAUUACAUGAAAAUGAAGAAAGCAGUAGGAGGGCGUUUUAGUGCAUUUGGAUUCUUGGCUUUCUUUCCCUUCUUUGCCUUUGGUUCAGCAGCUUUGGCCUUCCUUCUGUACAUCAUCGUCACCAUUGUAAAAUCAAAAGCAAACCAAAAUGAAUCAAAGCAACAAUCAGUAAAUGAUAGGUAGCAAGUAAAAACAAAAGGAAUUCUAUAAAAAUUACUUUUCAGCUGGUUUUUUCUUCAAUUCAGCAGCCUUCUCCACAACCUGAGCCUCUGUUUAGCAUCAAAUUAACUCAUCAGAAGUGCCCCUCAGAUAGCAAGUUAACUAAACAAUAAACCUCCAGCAGCUAAACUAAAAACUAAAAUCAAUUAACGGUGAAGAAUAACAGGUUAAUAGACUUCAGAACCCAAAAAAAGUAUAAAAAAGGGUCCGACUGAUUAACCAAUUACACUCAAAAGGAACCUAGGUUCAUCUUAACAUAGAUCAAAUCAAACCCCAUUUUACAUCCUUAUCAUAGUAACAUAGCAACCAAUUAAAAGCGGGAAAUAGCAGUCACAUGCAAAUUGGCACAACCAUUUCAACAUAAAUUAACAUAUUAAACACCCAAAAGCACCCUGCCUCGCUGUUUAAGGGGAAAAAAAAAAACUGCCUCGUCUUAACACGAAAUUAACAGUAAGAACCCCUUAACACCAUAUACAAAUUGAUGCAUGCAUGGCCCAAUUCAACCGAAAAAAAGUACAAGCACCAGCCUCAUAUUAACCAGAAAAUAAUCCAUUCUCCAUCCUCAUUACAGCAUUAUAUCUAAUCAAAAGCAAGAAAUACCUAGAUUCAUCUUGAUUUUAGCUUCAGUGCUACAGUCAUGCAUGCUAAUCAGCGCUACGGCAACAUCCUUGUUGCAUUCCCCACUGCCAAAAAGAAAAAAGAAAAAAAAUCCAACUUAAGUGCACCAUUUUUCCAUAUAUAAAGAACCCACAAAGAAAACACAAAAAGAUUAGUAGACAUCAUAUUAGUUCAAAAAAAUCUCAUACCAUUUCGUAAAAGCGCUGCCAUCUUUAGCCCGGAGGAGGGUAGAAGAAGAUGCUGUAGUGUUGCUCUUGCCACCAGCAGCAGGAGACGUAGAAGAAGAAGAAGAAUUCUUCUCCACCUCCACCCUUUUCCUUAGUCUUCCACCUGCCAUUUGGACCGCAAUUAGAGAGUUUCUGAUGGAAUUGGAGAUGCAAACAGGAAAAUGGAGAUGGGUUCUUUGUUUUUUUUGUGGGUUUUGGGGGAAAUCGCGGUUGGGUAUAAUAAGACGGGGGAAAAAAGAGAGGAGGGAAAGAGCAAAGACGAAAAUUGGAAUUGAAAUGAAAUUUUGGGGCCGCCAUUUUUUUUUGGUGGCUUUUUCACAUUUUCGUGAAAAAAACCGCCAAUUGAAUUGUUAAUAUACUGCACUUAACUGAUGCGGAUGAAUGACUUGUCGCGCUUCUUGACCGUUGGAUCUAUUGCGUUCUCAAAUGGACGGUUGAGGAUUCAACAAGAGCUUAUGUUCCAGAGAAGGUGGGAUUUUUUUUAAAAAAAAUUUGAAUUUAGGAUCUAAGUUGAACUAACAUAUAUGCUAUAAUAAUUUGAUUUACAUGAGAUAAAAUGACAUUUGAAAAAUGUGAAAACAAAAGACGUAAAAAUUUUUCUACACAAAACUGUAAUCCAACCAAAUUUGCUAAGAGAUUAUUUGUUAUCUUUCAUAAAAUUAAUUAUCAAUCUCACUUUCAAAAUGUUCAUUAAAAUUUAAAAGGUAACAGAUAGCAUAUCCUGUAUAACCAAGGAGAUUCUUUAAGGCAUGAUGAGCAUAUAUUGAUAUUCACAAUUCGAAUAGUAAUAUUCAAUCCAAUUUUUUGUUGAAUAUCCAUAUUCUAAGGCGAAAUUUUUUGCCGAAUAUUCAUCGUGCCAAGUAAGCACGACAAGCAGGAAAAUUUUUUUUUUUUUUAAAAAAGACCUGCAUGGCACGGUGGCCCAGAAAUUGAGGGAACAGCUCCAUGAAUAAAUUUGAUGUGGCCACUUCCUUGGAAACUAAAAUGGAUGGCAUCGGAGUGUUUGGAUUGUAAUUUUUAAAAAUUUUUGUAAAAAAUGUACUGUAACAAAUUGAUAUAUGUGAAUUAAAAGGGUGAUUGAGAAAUGUUUUCACGAAAAAUAUAGAAAAUUUUUCGUGAAAAAUGGCUUUCCAUUUUUUCAAAUAAUAUUUUAUUUAUAUUAUAAACACAUUUUCAACCCACUUUUCUAUAUUUCUAGUUACUUUUUUUAUCUCACAUAAUUACGUCACAAAAAAAUACUACAGUAAUUAUUCUAAUUAAUAACUCAAAUAAUACUCUAUCCAAACACAUAGGAGAAAAGCGGAUGCUUCCUACUAUAGUAUUGUAUUGUAUAUUUUGUUUGGAUUUUGGGGAACUAAUUCAACUUGGUUGUAUUAAUUAAAAAACAAAAGCUUACAGAGGAGAAACUAGUGUGCGUUUAAGUUGACCUCUUGAUUACUUUGUCUGAUAGAUUACUUCAAAUUUAUGUAGGAUAAGGCUUUUCCUUUUAGUUCAACAUAAAAUGUUACACAACAAAUUUUGCAAAUUAAUUUCAAGCACUAGAGAAUAUCUACAUAUGUUUUAUAUUUUUCUCUUCCUUUUUUGUGCAAACCUUCUAGUGUUCGGUGACCACAUUGGUUCUUGACUAAUCUGGAAUGGAGUACUAUCAAACUAUUUCCUGAGGAUGGCUUGCCUAACAUUGUCAAACUUUUUCGAGGAUGGAAUCGUGUUUGAAUAGUAGAUUAUUCGGGAUAAUUUUUUGAAAAAAAAAUGUUAUAGCACUUUUUAUGAUGUGAUAUAUAUGAGAUGAAAAGGUUCUUGAAAAAAUAAAAAGAUAUGUUGAAAAAUGUAUUUGUGAUGCGAGUAAAUAAUUUUUGUGCACUGUGUUUGGAUAGUAGAUUAUUUGGGAUAAUUUUCUGAAGAAAAAUAAUACUAGUAUGUAACACUUUUUAAUGUAAUAUAUUAGAAAUAAAAAGGUGAUUAAAAAUAUGUUAAUAAUGCAAAUAAAUAAAUUUUGACAAAUAAAGUACUAUCUGAGCUUUCAUAGGUUAAUGGUUUUACUAGUUAUAUACGACGAACAUAAGAAGAUUGAUGAAAUUGCAAAAAAUAGCAUAAAGAAUUAAGGGGUCUGACAACCAAAAAAACUCGAGUUCGAGUCUGAGUGGAAAUGUUAAACUGACAAUAUGAUCUCUCUUUUUUUUUUAAGGAAAGUCUGAAUAUUAAAAUGCAAAUCAAGAAAUUUGAUCUAUUGAUCUACACCUAAAUGGAGUUUAAAAGUUCUCUUAGUGAGACCAACUCCUGUAGGAGCAGUUGGUUGUUACAAUUUGAUGUCAGGCAUAGUUUCUUUUUGCCUACAGAAAAAUCAUUAUCGUUUCGCCAUUGACCCCAUGCCUUGAACAAACUGAAUACAUGGAUCUCUACAGAGAAUAACAAACUUUAUGAGAUUGGUCAGAUGAAUGCACCAUGAUUUUGCAGAAGCAAGCAGCCCGACACACGAACAAAGUAGUAGCACAGUUAGGUAAGCACAGGAAACCAAUUUCACUAAUAAGUCGGAAUAUAUCAGAGCAUCUGCAUUCAAACUGAUUUUAAGUACCAAAAUCCACGGCCAGUUAGAGCACUGCAACACGUUAAUUAUACAAGCAAUUUUAGAUGUCCUACCGGUGCUUCCUACCACCAUUUCUCUUCCCACGAGUCUUCUUACCUCCCUUUUUCUUCUUCUUUUUCUUAUCA